UACAGAGGUCUCAAGCGUUGUUCGGAUUCAUUGGGCGUAAAGGGUGCGUAGGCGGCGCGGUAAGUCGGGUGUGAAAUCUCGGAGCUUAACUCCGAAACUGCAUUCGAUACUGCCGUGCUUGAGGACUGGAGAGGAGACUGGAAUUUACGGUGUAGCGGUGAAAUUCGUAGAUAUUCGGAAGAACACCAGUGGCGAAGGCGACUUACUGGACACAUAUUGACGCUGAGGUGCGAAAGCGUGGGGAGCAAACAGG
Molecule: ribosomal RNA, 253 nt
Filed under: uncultured bacterium
Lineage: Bacteria
Description: partial 16S ribosomal RNA
Rfam family: Bacterial small subunit ribosomal RNA
Source: RNAcentral